RNAcentral lists this ribosomal RNA (270 nucleotides) under uncultured prokaryote. RNAcentral describes it as "partial 16S ribosomal RNA". It matches the Rfam family "Bacterial small subunit ribosomal RNA", at positions 524 to 794 of the family's 1533-position model. The record is from RNAcentral.
UACGUAGGGAGCGAGCGUUAUCCGGAAUUACUGGGUGUAAAGGGCGAGUAGGCGGGCGGACAAGUCAGGUGUGAAAGGCUACGGCUCAACCGUAGUAAGCUCUUGAAACUGUAAGACUUGAGUGCAGGAGAGGAGAGUGGAAUUCCUAGUGUAGCGGUGAAAUGCAUAGAUAUUAGGAGGAACACCAGUUGCGAAGGCGGCUCUCUGGACUGUAACUGACACUGAGGCACGAAAGCGUGGGGAGCAAACAGGAUUAGAUACCCGGGUAGU